Molecule: ribosomal RNA, 253 nt
Filed under: uncultured bacterium
Lineage: Bacteria
Description: partial 16S ribosomal RNA
Rfam family: Bacterial small subunit ribosomal RNA
Source: RNAcentral
UACGUAGGUGGCAAGCGUUGUCCGGAUUUACUGGGCGUAAAGAGCGCGCAGGCGGUCGUUCAAGUCGCGUGUGAAAGCCCCCGGCUCAACUGGGGAGGGUCACGCGAUACUGAUCGACUCGAAGGCAGGAGAGGGUAGUGGAAUUCCCGGUGUAGUGGUGAAAUGCGUAGAUAUCGGGAGGAACACCUGCGGCGAAGGCGGGUAGCUGGGCCGACACUGACGCUGAUGCGCGAAAGCCAGGGGAGCGAACGGG